UGUGAAGUACCUGUUAGACAGAGGCGUCCUCUCCACACAUCUGAUCUGGAUGGUGCUGAGCUCUUGUACGCUGCCUGGACGGCUGCCGGUGAUGGUGGUGUUUGGGAUGCGAGUAGAAGAGAUCUUAUCCUAAUGACUUCAAAGUGGCAGAAAAGAGAAAAAUAUGCCUUUGCUUAGUAUCAUCUGGACUGAUGCUUAUACCAAAUGAUAUUUCAAAGGAUGCCAAGAGGCUGAGAAGGUACCUCACCCUUGCUGUUAUACCAUGAAUCAGCAACUUGCCAGAUUCUACAAGAAAGACAUUCACAGUGAUCUCUGUUAAAUAUAACAGAAGCAUUACUUGGGGAAUGCUGGAUGCCGGGGGAUCCUCUUUUACGGUCCCUUCAGUAAGAAUCAUACUCGUAUCAGAGGAAAUACUCAGCAGCUUUCCCUGUACAAAAGCCCAACAUUUGCUCAGGCAAAAACUUGCUUUGACUGCACUGAGUAUUGGAUGUGUAAGGACUACAAUUUGUAUGUUAAAAAUUUGUAUGUUUUCAUAGAGUGCAUGAAAACCAUAAUGAAGGUCACAUAUAUGGCUUGGGUAUACUGCUGUCAUCUCACUGAUGCCAGUCUCUUUCACGCUAGAUGAGGCUGUCAUCCAGGAUAUCUCUGUUAUUUGUAUGCAGUGGGUAUAAUGCAUUAAAAUAAGAUAAACUGGCUUUUCUUCCCAGCUAACUGCUUUCAUAUAAGGGCUUAUUAAUUAGAAGAGAUAACUGAAAACAUUCAAAACUAGGCUGGUGUUGGG
Molecule: long non-coding RNA, 781 nt
Organism: Falco peregrinus (peregrine falcon)
Lineage: Eukaryota; Metazoa; Chordata; Aves; Falconiformes; Falconidae
Exons: 3
Source: RefSeq, a predicted model, not a curated record